CCUGCUCCAACCCACUGCACCACCGCGCCCCCCUCUAUAUAUUCGCAUACAAAUGUAAAUAUAAAAUUAAAGAAAAUUUGUAAAAAUGGACAAAUUCAGCUGGACGCCAAGAGAGAAAGUUUACACAAUAAGACUCAAAUGUCUUUUCCAUGGAAUCCGUUUUGGGAAUAUUUUUGAAUUGUAAAUGUUAGUGUCAGAAACACGGCGUGUCUCCUCGCUUUAGGCCACCUUCAGCUCCGGUCCUUCAGCUGUCCCACAUGACUGCAGAUGAGAAAGUUGGCAGGAGGCCACGCCCCGUGGGGGGCGCCGCUGCGCACGCAACGCGUCCGGCUCUCCUACGCAUUGUCCGGGGACACAUUCCUGGCGGGCGAAUGAUGUUUAGGUUCAUCCCAUAAUAAGAUGUUCAGCUGUCCUGGAAAAGAAAGAACUUCUAUCUUUGCUGAAAUUUUUUAUGUGAAUAAAACUUUGGAAACACAACUUUUUUCCUCUACACAACUGGAAGCCAGAAGACACUUGGCCUCUUUGGCCUCCCGUCGCUCUGUUAGUAGGUGUCUGCCCACCGCCCCCCAGCAGGCCGACCCCGUCACCGGCAUGGUGUUGGAUCUCGAGUUUAUUUCUACCGGCGUUUUGCCCUCACCCCACACACUGCAGGUAGAGUGAACAUCUCAUUUGGCGACAUCCCCUCAGGUGGCCCAUGUGACCCACGCAUCCCACCCGUUGCAGUAAGUGCUUAUGUAUGGCAGCUGAACAAUCUCACGGCACUAGCAGUGUGGUGGGAUUGUUAUUUAUAUUCCUGCCAUGGGUUUCACUUCUAAAGAAGCGGGUCAGAACAGAGCGAGGGGCCCCAGCGGGUGUUCGACACCGAGAGUGCAAUGCCCGGUAACCUGAUAGGUUAUCUACUGCGGCUGAGGGGGUGGGAGGAAAGCUGUGGGUGGGAAUCCAUGCUGGAGGGGGAGUCGACAUCACCCUCCCGUGACCAUGAGUGAUACCGCUCUCCCGUGACCGUGACCUCUACGGCACUGCAACCUGUGGUUCCUCUGCUGGGUGAUGAUGUGCUAAGGAAGAAAGAAAAAAAAAGCCAAUGCAGCAUCACCACUGGGAAGAAAAGGCUGAAGGCUUCUUUUUGACCUUUCUCCCCAGAUUGAGUUUUAAUGUUAAGCUUCUUACAAUUGUUUGCCUGUCUGUACGCUGGGUAAUUUUCAACCGUAUUAAUUCAGGGGUUGUACCUUGAUCAAGGGUACCACAGUAGGGGCCGGGAUUCAAACUUGGGUCAUCAGAGUCUCAAAGCAACACCUGCUGCCCCCUUGGAAGUCUUUCUCGGUCUUGAUGGUCCUGGUCCUUUCCGGCUCACUUCAAGGCUUUCUUUUUGAAGACGCUCUUUUUCAUUUAUUAAAAUAUUUAAUGUAUCAGAGAAUAUGAGCUCCUUUCCAAACACGAACAUCCAAGGGCAGGUAGAGAUCCAGAAAACUCAGCAUCAAAGAGUAUUUACUGUUAGAUCAGUUUUUGGGCUAUUUGCUCCCUUGGAACGUGGGAGGGAAGUUCAGAAAAGGUAGCUUAGAUGCAUGACGUUAUUUCUAGCUUUUUGAAGAAAUUGUAUUUCCAAAACUUCUUUAUUCAGACCACGUCUUGCAGUUUCAUCGGUUCUUUAUGAGUUUCUACAGACGGGACAUCGAAAAUCCAUCCCGUUUUAACGCUGUUGAGCGUUAAUGUCCUGUAUGUGGUGCUUCAUGUCCUCCGUCUCCCUUUAGCAGAAUUAUAUGCGCUCUAGAAUUGUUAAGAAAAAUCUAUAUGAAUGUCUCAUUACCAAGACAGGGAAUGAUUCCUGCUUUGAGCGGAGCAGGACUGGCAGCUUCUGAUUGGCCGGUCUGCUAACAUCACCUAGCCAAUCACAAUAGGUCUGGGGGGAAGGGAGGGAACGUACCUUAGCGACACCAUUACAUGGCGGAUGAUCUGAUCUCCAAACUUUGGUUCCCUCAAAAUCGAAAUCAGCUGGAUUUCAGCUCUGGCUAAAUAGUAAACAGGUCCAAAAUCUGUGAAAAAUUCUAAGUUAAUUUCAUCAGUUUGACAAUUACUUCGAGUGAGAUGUUCGAAGGCAUAAUAACAUUUGUUUGUUUGAACGCAUCUGCACACCUAUUGUCGACAUCUUAGCGACACCUCCCUUUACUGCGGUAAAGUUCAUGACUUUUCCUUAAAUUUAAACGUAAAUAACAUUGUUUCCCAUUCAUUAUUUUUAUUAUUUGUCUCGACUUCCUGUUGCCCGUGACAUUGGUGAUCCAGACAUCCUGUAACUCAAGAUGCGUUACGUCCGCCCGAAACAAAAAAAUCUGUUUGUGGACAAAAGCUGCUGACCCAUCACCCUCAUUGUGUUUUGGCGCGAAAUGAUGUCGCCAUAAAACGCCAAAACAACAGAUGGACAGUCUGUGGCUUAUAACCCAGAUUUUAUUGGUCUAAUCCAUCCCAUCACUGCCGGAAUUUCAGCGUCCCCAAAUACCGGGGUGGCGUGGGGGGAUGUUUUGUCUUAGGCGGCCUGUCCACUCGCAUCCUGUCCUCUUGUGUGAUCUUUGCGCCCCCCUGCCGCACCCCUACAAUGGACCAUCGGCGGUUCCCAGCCUGUCCCACCCCGUCGUGGUCAAUAGCAACCUUGAUGUUGAUGUCGUUGACACGUCUUGACCUGCUCGGCUGGUGACAGAUCAUUAAGGGGUGACCCCACAAAACCAGGUCAUUUUCAGGAUUACAGCCCCCCGAUCUCGGCUCCACCCUAUUCCCAAGGAGUGGGAUGCCCCCCUGCCAAAACGAAAAAAAAAAAAAAACAGCGCCCUGAAUGUGAGCAGCUCGUCCAGGCUUGAGAGGAUUGUCCCCGCAAAUUAGUUUAUUAGGAAUCCCUCAUUACAAGCUACUAAUCUGUCUGCUGGGGCAGCCGCUUAUCUUCGCAGCCAACUGCUUAUUGGUGGGCCUAUGGUGGCGUUGCGUGUGGAAUAAAAAAUAAAGACUUAAAAAUACA
Molecule: long non-coding RNA, 3001 nt
Filed under: Scleropages formosus (Asian bonytongue)
Lineage: Eukaryota; Metazoa; Chordata; Actinopteri; Osteoglossiformes; Osteoglossidae
Description: lncRNA (ENSSFOG00015027525.1)
Source: RNAcentral